UGCCCAGCAACUCCUAUCCCUACCUUCACGUGGUACCGGCCGGAAACUAUGCGCAACCUUAGGGAAGAUCGGGUAACCAACCCCGGUGGGAACUUUGGUCGUAGGCUGACAGGGAAGG
Non-coding RNA from Aedes albopictus (Asian tiger mosquito), 118 nucleotides. The record is from Rfam. Lineage: Eukaryota; Metazoa; Arthropoda; Insecta; Diptera; Culicidae.